UAGAAAUUCCUUUGCAAAACACUAAAAACCAGCCACUCUACCUCCCCCUCUCCUACCGGCUCCUCCCCUCCCCCCGCCACGCGUUGGACACUGGGCCGGGCUGGGCGGCGGGUCAGGCGACCGGUCAGCUGACCUGCCCCCGGGCGAUAACCACGUGACUGGCGUCCGCCCGCAGCCGCCCGCCUGAGCCACGGAGAGGGCAGUCGCUGUCUGUUACCGGUUGGAGCCAUAUGUGUUCACGACUGAUUUUUGCCUGAAUUCACCUAUUACAAAUAUACUCAUCAAGAGAUACCUACCUACGAGAACAUCGAGAGAUCCUACGCGGUUCGUCCCGGCAAACCUACGCGGGGAAGUACCAGUGAGACCGACCAAAUCACAGGACCGACGACUUCGAGACAAGACCUACGUCAAGGAUAGCUUGAGCGUGCUGGGCUGCUAAAUGCGGCGAGGAGGAUUUCCACGGCCUCCACAGCGUGCUGUCCAUUCUCGGCUACCUCCUCAAAGCGCCAGCUGUGCCCCCCGGCGCCCCCGUUAUAAACGCUCUCUCCAAGCAGCGUGCUGCCAUCGAGAACAUUCUACGCGCGUGCGUAGGUCUACAGCCAGUUAGUGACAUAGGCUUGGAGUUUAAACUCCCUGAGAGUUAUCGUGAAGCGUGGCGAAAGCGUGGAGUGGCCACGGAGGUGGCGGGUGGUCACGUGACCGGCGACCGAGUCGUGAAGCAAAUGACGUCAGAAGGGGUGCAGAAUGGUACUGGAAAUGUUCAGGGCAUGAAUGGACGUGGCUAGAUGGAGGAGUGUAGAUUUGUCACGUGACCAGAACGUGACUGAGCGAGAAAUGAACCGAGGCAGUGCUGAUUGGGCACGUGACCGCCGAGAAAAGCCUUAGGGGCUGCGCCGGUGUUAUGGUGAGACUAGUGCUAGGUUCCACUAUAGGCUAAUAGGUGGCGCUGAUGUAGUUACAGGUGUCGCUAGGGAUGUGUAAUUGUACUGAGAAUAUCGGUUUACCUGCGGACCACCCUGUAUGAUAAACAACAUCGAAUACACAUAAAAC
Molecule: long non-coding RNA, 1050 nt
Organism: Amphibalanus amphitrite
Lineage: Eukaryota; Metazoa; Arthropoda; Thecostraca; Balanomorpha; Balanidae
Exons: 3
Source: RefSeq, a predicted model, not a curated record